AGAAAAAUUAUUAAUUAUGAUGGAUCCAUUACAGAAAACGAAAAGUAACAGAGCUCAUGAUGUAAAUAACCCCUAAUGCACAAGCCAUUAGUGCAAACCAUACACUUUGCACCCUACCUGCACAUAUUUUUCAAUAAGCAGAUGUGUAUAUAUAUAUCAUUAAAUAAAUAAUAUAUAGUAUACCAUUAAGCUGGAAACAAUUUGUAAGCAUAAGGAAAAACACUAUGACUUCAAUUUUUCCACAUCUUCUACCCAUCCAUGUCGAAAGGGGCAAACCGGCCUCUUAAGCUUUCCCCACGAACCAAACUCUUCGAGUCGCUCAAAU
Molecule: long non-coding RNA, 325 nt
Filed under: Populus trichocarpa (black cottonwood)
Lineage: Eukaryota; Viridiplantae; Streptophyta; Magnoliopsida; Malpighiales; Salicaceae
Description: long non-coding RNA (PTRI_LNC004765)
Source: RNAcentral